RNAcentral lists this long non-coding RNA (302 nucleotides) under Capsella rubella. RNAcentral's name for it is "long non-coding RNA (CRUB_LNC004675)". The record is from RNAcentral. Lineage: Eukaryota; Viridiplantae; Streptophyta; Magnoliopsida; Brassicales; Brassicaceae.
ACACAAAAAGUAAUGAGACAAAGUUUUCUUCUGUAAAAAAAAAUCUACCAAUAGAUUCUCUAGUUUUGUAUGAAAAAAUACUUUCGUAUGUCUAUUGACCAAGCUUCAUAUUUCAUAUGUAAAUCGAUGUUAACUUAAUAGCAAAUCGUUACUGAUGACAAAAAAAAAAAAAAAAAAGAGAAUAGCAAAUCGUUACCAUUAGUUGCCGUGUGUCCACUCUCUUUUAUAUAUUCUUGUUUCGAUUGAAUUUUGGCAUUUUGGCAACCUAAAGUAGGCUACCACUUUAACCCCACAAAAAAAAA